Centruroides sculpturatus (bark scorpion) is the source of this 477-nucleotide long non-coding RNA. RefSeq lists it as uncharacterized. The record is from RefSeq and is a predicted model, not a curated record. Lineage: Eukaryota; Metazoa; Arthropoda; Arachnida; Scorpiones; Buthidae. The transcript is spliced from 2 exons.
UUUAUUACGGAUGUAAAUGUAUAUAAAUACGCGAAUAGCAAACAUGAUUUGUAUUGAAUCUAUAUCGGUACAAGAGUUGUUAGUAAAUAAAUAUGAAGAAAUUGCAGGUGAUUCUUUUGUUGUAUUUAAUUUGUGUCAGCGAAAUGUUCUUUGGAGUAGAAUCAUCGCAGAAAACCAGUAGAAGGAAAGGCAGUGGUAAGCAACGCCAGCGCGUUAUAAUCAAGAAUCCUCCUAUAAGACCAUGUGAACCCAAAGAACUUGUAGGAAUUUGCAGAUUAGAGUGCAUGAGACUGAAACUGAGAUAUUGUGUAAGAGAUUCAUUCAAGUGCGAAUGUCCCUAGAAAAUUUAACACCCUCUUACAUAAUACACUUCACGAUAAACGCAUUAGAGAAUAUAGACGACGUUUCCGAUAUUUGUCAUAGAUAAAAUGCAAUUAUGGUUUUAUGAGACAAAAAUAAAAUUUAAAAUCUUAACAA